Molecule: ribosomal RNA, 253 nt
Filed under: uncultured bacterium
Lineage: Bacteria
Description: partial 16S ribosomal RNA
Rfam family: Bacterial small subunit ribosomal RNA
Source: RNAcentral
UACGUAGGGUGCGAGCGUUGUCCGGAAUUAUUGGGCGUAAAGGGCUCGUAGGCGGUUUGUCGCGUCGGGAGUGAAAACACCGGGCUUAACUCGGUGCUUGCUUCCGAUACGGGCAGACUAGAGGUAUGCAGGGGAGAACGGAAUUCCUGGUGUAGCGGUGAAAUGCGCAGAUAUCAGGAGGAACACCGGUGGCGAAGGCGGUUCUCUGGGCAUGUCCUGACGCUGAGGAGCGAAAGUGUGGGGAGCGAACAGG